GGCAGUGUAGCAUAGUGGUUAAGGAGCUGGGCUCCUAACUGAAAGGUUGCUGGUUCAAUUCCACUGCCACUGUAC
Non-coding RNA from Megalops atlanticus (tarpon), 75 nucleotides. Lineage: Eukaryota; Metazoa; Chordata; Actinopteri; Elopiformes; Megalopidae. The record is from the annotation of a GenBank genome assembly.